Molecule: non-coding RNA, 535 nt
Filed under: Contracaecum septentrionale
Lineage: Eukaryota; Metazoa; Nematoda; Chromadorea; Rhabditida; Anisakidae
Source: RNAcentral
UGUUCCAGAAUAAUCGGCUAGACUUUAUAGGCUUGUACUCUAAUUGUUGUUAAUCUUAAAUUUUUAAAAAUUUUGUACUUUCGGCUUUUUGGUGAAAUUAAGGGUUUUAUUUAGAUGUGUUUAAGAUUUUAAAAUUUAGUGACCGAACCAGAUUAGUACCUGGUUAGAUAAAAAUUAAAAGGGCAGGAGUAAAGUUGAAUUUAAACUGUAAUAAUAUUGGCAGGCUUUUAAAUUAUCUUUGGAGGCUGAGUAGUAAUUGAGAGCCCUCAUUUACAACUUUUGUUUUUGGCUCAUGUAUGAUCGUUUAUUUUAUUCUUAAGGAUUGUAAUUUUAGUUUUUAUCUGUUAAAAUAGAUAUAUACUUGGUUUAUACAAGAGAUUAAUUUGGCCUACAAUGUUUUAAUUUUUGGAUAGUACUAGUAGUUAGUGUAUGAAAUUGUAAAAGACAGUAAGUUACUUUUAAUAUGGGGCUGAAGUUUAUUUAAAAGCGGUACAAAUCAUCCAUCAAUUGCCCAUAGGGGAGUAAGUUGUAGUAA